CCCCCUUCUCAUCUCUUUCUGUGGUGAGUGCUCUGAUGUCCCGAUAUAGAUAAUCUUGAAGUAAUUCUUGAUUCUUAGAUCAACUAGAGAACUCUCAGGAAACUUCCUCUCUUCCAACCAAAAAUAAUUAUAUAAUUAUCCUUGGGCGAUCUUGGAUCUUAAUUAGUACACUCACGUUCCCUGUGGAAAAUCGAUACUCUGGAAUACUCCCGGGUGAAGGCUACAUCGGUAUCCGUGCGCUUGCGGAUUUUUCUGUUUGCGUUUAAAAUACCCAACAAGCUUUCUGGCGCCGUUGCCGGGGAACGGUAGCUGUGCUAGUUUCGAACCAAGUCGUCCGUGUAUCCUUUUUCUUUUCUUUUUUUUACCACACUCACCUUAUCACUUUCACCAUACCACAUGGAUUUCACUCUAAGCAUUAAUGAGCAUGGAAUUUAUUUCAUAGCCACUUCACUUACUCCAUGCUCAUAUGCAACAUCUUCACAAUCUAUUGGUCUCUCCAACAUCACCACAUUCGAGAUCUCCAACCCGCUCUUCCUUUCUAUUCAUAAAAACUUUAAAAGGGCGGUUGUCGAUGCAUAUGUCUAUAAUAAAUUUUGCAGAUCUCGUUGAGUUGAUCUUGAUAUAGGUCAGCGUUGGAGGGGAAACCACUUCACUGACAUAAAUUGAUGGUUUCCCAAGGACAAGCUUAGUGUCCUAAAAUAAGCACUGAUCAGAUCAUAACAUGGGCUUUUAAUUAUUUGCAACAUUACCUUGUGUAUUG
RNAcentral lists this long non-coding RNA (760 nucleotides) under Sorghum bicolor (sorghum). RNAcentral's name for it is "long non-coding RNA (SBIC_LNC001254)". The record is from RNAcentral. Lineage: Eukaryota; Viridiplantae; Streptophyta; Magnoliopsida; Poales; Poaceae.